GCCGUCCUUCCCACCGGCCGCCGCUCUCCCCGGCUAUUCUGGCCGGCCGCCACACCGUCGCCGCUCUCCGCGGCUAUUCCCGCCUGCGCUCCAGAAGUUCAGCAGGGCAGCAGGACUUGAACUUUCAAGGGACAGUAUCCGUAUUACUGAAUUACAAUUCUGCUGUCUGUAUGGUUAAGAGCUCUCGUGUGAUGGUAUCAAGUCGAGGGAACACUGAAUUGUUCAUUCAUCCUGACGGAACACAUUUGAUUCGCCGGCUAGAGCACAGUCCCAAUUAGUUCUGUUGAUUUAUAAAUCUCUGCCGUGUAUUUUGGCGACAAGAGCGCCAUUUCUAUUACCGGUAUUACUCAAUGUUGAAUAUCACAAACAUCAUCUAUUACUUCACAGGUUACUACAGAUUAGAAUUUUCUUUAAACUGGCAAUGCACAAUUGUACAUGCCUUCUUCCCAUUAUAUUGUUACCUUCUGCAUAGGCAUUGUUAGCAUUUUAUAUAUCAAUUGGCAAUGUUCGAUCUCAAGAAAAUGUUUAAAUUUCUGAUGGAGGUUGCAAUUGGCAAGCAGAAUUGAAUCAGUUCCCUUUUUAUAUAUCAAAUUUAUUUCAUUAAAAACUACCGCAGCAACCCGCGAGGUUUCAUAUAGUAUCCUAAAAGGUUGAUGCCAACCAUAUGAGCAUGCUUUUCCAACAACAAAAAAGAGGGGUAAAAAUUGACACUUUAGCUUUGUUUGGUUUCAUCACUAUAAUUUGUGAUAUAUUCUAUCAUGUAAGACUUUUUUCAUGUUUUGAACUAUUUGUAUUGUAGUCGUGCAAAUUUGAUAUAUGUGAAUUUCAAUGUUAACAAUCAAUUUGUCUUAUAUACUGUUCAUUUGACAAAUGUUUUUCACAAUUUAGUAGGUGCAAAAAAAUUUUUUGGAGGUGUGCCCCCCCUCCAAUUCUUUCCUGCGUCCGCCACUGGUUGGAUCCUACACCGUUGUUGAACCAACCAUUUCAAUCAUCUUGGCCAGCCGUUACAACAAUGAAGCAGAUCCUCAUCAGGUCGUUGAUUGAUCUGCAUAUUGAUGUUAUCAUGCCCCCCCUGCGAUUUUUCACUGCCGUGCAGAAAUUCGUGCAGACCAUUUGAGGAACACAGGGAACUUUCAUCAUCUCAUCCGCAACUCAGACCAUACUUGGUUUAAGUGGCCUCUAGCGCAAUGUGGUUAGGGUGUAUCAUUUCAGGUUGUGCCACCGACGCCUCCCCUGUGCAGAUGCAGCCACCCAAGGUUAAUUUUCAUCUGUACUGUACAUUCUCCUCUGUACGCGCAGUUGUUAGUUGAGGAUGAGACACAGAACAGAAUUUUGAGCUCUAUAUACAUGAAUUCAUCUGAAAUCUUGAAGUCUCUAUACAUGCAUGCAUCUCGGAUUAAAGAAAAGACGCUUUGAGGAACAUCAAUAUCGCUCCAGCAAUAACAAGCGAUAUCACAGUAGGAACCGUGGCUAAUACAAGUUGUUUGUAUCCUUUCCUUUUCCCUCCAUUUUGCGAUGCACUACUGCAACUUGGCAAUCCUUCCACUACACCACAUAGCAUCUUAUUAUGCAUGAACCACUUGAUUGGAGCUCCUUGGAAAAGCUUACUCGCUGGCACUGGUCCUUCCAACUCAUUUUAAAUUCUUGAGCCGACCUCCAGAGCACAACUCGGGUGGGAGGGGACCAGUGAGGUUGUUACUAUCGAGUUGCACAUAUUCGAGGUCCAUUAAGGUGCCAAUUUCUCGAGGAACAUGUCCUGAUAAUUGAUUACUAUCGAGGUACAAGCCAGUGAGCUUAGUCAAGUUUCCAAAGGUACUGGGGAUGGGGCCCAUCAAUUUGUUGUAGCUAAGAGAUAACUCUUUUAUAUUCGCCAUGUAACCUAGUUCUUGAGGAAUACGCCCAGAAAGUUGGUUAUCCCACAGAUAGAAAAUAGUGAGCUUUGUAAAAUUUCCAAAGGUAUCAGGGAUGGAACCAAUGAGUUUGUUGUCGUUUAGCUCUAAAUAUUCUAUAUCCACAAGGUAGCCUAGUUCUCGAGGAAGAUAU
This is a long non-coding RNA of Lolium rigidum, 2043 nucleotides long. RefSeq lists it as uncharacterized. Lineage: Eukaryota; Viridiplantae; Streptophyta; Magnoliopsida; Poales; Poaceae. The transcript has 6 exons. The record is from RefSeq and is a predicted model, not a curated record.